CUGGGACUAAAUGUGCAAUAUUUCUGAGGUCUGCCUUUGAUUGGUUGUUAAAUGGUUAAGCAAUAAUUCCAUAAUACUAUUUCAGCCAAGGAACUGUCAGGAAGUAUCAUAUAACUUCAUAACUUCAUAUAACUGUCAUAUACACAAAGUAUAAAUACUUUUAUUUUACUUUAUUUGUUUGUUUCAUUUUUCCCUUUGAUGACUAAUAUGCUACUAUCUCUUUUCCCCCAGAGGGAGAUAAAUAUAUCGUGUUUUUCAUCAAUGCAGUGUGGGAAGCGAAUUCUAGACACAAAGAGAGAGAGAGAGAGAAAAAAAAAAAAAAAGAACAGGUCAUGCAGGUCAGGAAGAGCUGCAGGGCUAAGCAUACCAACCAAAAAUAUUCCCAGGACUAACAAGUAAAGCAGAUCAUCAGCAUUUUGCAGAGUGUAUUGGAGAGAGAGAAGCAAAAGCCUCUGUGGUCUUUAUGUUAAAAAGACACGUCUGCUCUGGAAUCAAAAUACUUCCAAUUCUGGUACCCUACUCUCUGGUCUAUGACCUUGCGUAAGUUAUUUAAUCUCUCUGAGAUGGAUUUCUGCUGCAGAAUUUGUGUGAAAAAAAUAGUACCUGCUUCACAGGAUUAUUGUGAGAAUUAAAUAAGAUUAUCCACAUAAAAUUUUCCCCAUUGUAUCAUGCAUAAAGUAAGUGCUCAGCAUUUUUUUCUUUUUACUACUACUAUUAUUAAUUUUUUAAAAUAGAAAAUUUAGACUCUUCAUAAUAUGGGCAUAACUCCUUCAUCAGAUUACUCCAUGAACAUUAAAUUCAAACUUCAGAGCUUUAAAUUGCAAUGAAACUGUAAAUGUCACAAAAGGAAGAAUAGAUAAGAGACUUAAAAAUAAAAUAUUUUUAAAUAAGUGUGUAAUAUUUACUAUAAAAAUACUGGGAACUUAUAUAACAAAAUGGGAAGAGUGGUUGCCUCAUCAGUGCUGAUGAUAUUAGUUUUUUUUCUUUCUCAUAUUUUCUGAAAUUUCCACAUUUGUAACAAUUAAGUGUACAUCACUUUUAAAAUCAUUAUGAAAAUAAAUUUGAAGAAAAAUAUUGUAUUAAUGCAUCCAUUUCAAUACACUAUUUUAGUAAUAUGUAUGCCUACCUGGAUACACAUUCAUGAGUAUAAAUAUAAAAGGAUACAAGAACAGAAAGGAGAGGUCCAUAUCUUACGUUUAUAAACUUUGAAGACAAGCUUUCCAGAUUAGUUGACCCUAAAUAAAAUUUUAAGAGUAAACAAGGAGGAAAAAAUGAAAAAAAAAAAAAAAAAAAAGAAGUGAAAGAAAAAGGAGACAUUCAACCAAAGUUAAUGCUGAGUCCUGUGGCAUCAAGGGAAAUGGCUGAGCAUCUUUACACAAUUGCAAGCACUCCCUGGCACUGUAGUGUGUGCCUGUAGUCCCAGCUAUUCAGGGGCUAAGGCAGGAAGAUCUCUUGAGCCCAGGAGUUCUGUGCUAUAGUGAUCGAGAGUCCGCCAUAAAUUCAGCAUCAAUAUACUGACUUCCUGGGAGAGGAGGACCACCAGGUUGCCUAAGGAGGGAUUUAACAGCCCAGGUAAAAAAACAGAGCAGGUCAAAACUCCUGUGUUGAUGAGUAGUGGGAUCACUACUAAUGCAAUUUCUCCCAUAGAAAUGGGAGAUCCCGUUUCUUUAAAAAAAAAAUUGCAAGUGCUUUCAUAGGUCAGGAGUAAAGAAUAAUGAGAAGUAGUAAUGGGAGAUGAGUCGGAAUCUGUGGCUAGGUUUUGUAUGACUCGUUAAGGAUUCUAUGUUCCACUGAAAUAUCAAAGUGCCUUUGCAUAAUUUAAUGAUGUUAAAAGAUCACGAUGGUUAAAGGACUGUGAGGCCUGAGAAAGUUAAGAGAGCGACAGGACUGUGGCAGAAACCAUGGCAAGAAAAGGAGAGAGAUUAAAUAGUCUCAGUGCAGUUAACUUAUAAGAACUGGACUAAUUAUUUCCAUUCCUGAUUAAAUUCUUCUCUUACAUUCCCAUAAAAUAGUUUUAAUGGCUAGGGGAAUGAGAGUUCUUAACUCGUUAGUAUAAGGAAGGAAGACAAUGGAAGGAGCACAGGUUGUGGGCUAUUGAACUGAAAGAGGGGAGAGAUAAUGAGUUUAAAUUUGUUCAGAUAUAAGGGUUGGCUAUGGUGCAACUAUUCAUGUCUAGUAAGCAAUUGGACGGGACAAUGAGCUGAGUAGGGUGGGUGGAAAAACUUUCCAUAGCUAGAGAUGGUGAAAAAAUAGUGUAGGUGAAGAAAUGAAUGCAAAGUGUCAGCAGUAGGCUGCUUAAAGGAAAGCAAAAGCUGUGUUGAGAGAAUAAAACAGGGAUAAGUCUGGCAGAAGCAUAGAAUUUCUAGGAGGGUCAUGGGAGAGAAGGGUGAAAAGGACUAUUUGAGCAGGAUUAGAAAGUCUGGUGUGCCAGAGGGAGAAAUUAAUAUUGCAGUCUGUUUAGAAGGAGAGACCACUUACUUAUAUAGGGCCACAAUUGUUUCUAGGUAGUGUAUAUCCUGGUAAAGAAAUGCAAUGUAGUGUUUAAGUGAAAAACUACAGGAGUAAAUAGCCUAGCUUUAAAUCCCAGCCUUAAGGCUUACUAGCAGUGUGACUUGGAGCAAAUUGUUAAUCUCUUAGUUCUUUAGUUGUGCCAUCUGCAAGCUGAUGAUAAUGAUUGGCUACUUUCCCUGAGUGGUUAUAAGAAUUAAAUGUGUUAAUAUAUAUGUCACCCUGUAGAAAGUGUUAUAUGUGGACAUACAUAUGCAAAAUAUGCAUACACAUAUACUGCAAAUAUUAUUACUCUCUCUAGCUAUCUUUAUUUCUUGUAUUCCUCUGAUGAGAUAUAAUAUGAGACUCCUUCCUACUCUCUAAUUUUACCUUCAAUGAAAAAAAAAGCAGCUCUCCUCUUUUUAAUGCCAAUCUUUAAUUUCAUUUAUGGAGACGGGAUGUAUAAGGUCCUUCUCAUUCACAUGAGUGGCAUAAUCAUGACACAUUUUGAUGUAAAACACAUCAGUAAUAUUUAAGAAAUGGUAAAAAAUUGCAAUUUUCAGGCCAUCCUAGAGUAUAAUUUAUUUAUUUUUUGAUGACUAGCUGAUUUUUAUUUAAAUUGAACAAUUUAUAUGUCAACUUAUUGAUACUAUGUUCAUGAGUUAAUGUUUCUAUAGGAUGGUUCUUAAAUACAGGUUAAUUACAUGGACACUUAUCUCCAGGCAAAGGGUAUCUAUGCCUCUCAUCCUCCUGCCUACAAUGAUUAAAAUAGAUUGGGGUGAGUAUGCAACCUAUAUCCUCCUUAUGAUAUGGACACUGGAUUUUGCUUAUAGUGCUGAAGACAAACUGAGUCUUCCCUUGAAGAGUGAAGUGAUAAGAAGUAAGGCUGUAACACAUAGGGCAAUUUGCAAAUAUUAGGAUGAAGUCUGGAGCUACCAAGGGGAUGAGCAUAGUGAACAUGGAAAUGAAGCUGAUGUCACAAACAGUAGAACAU
RNAcentral lists this long non-coding RNA (3481 nucleotides) under Homo sapiens (human). RNAcentral's name for it is "HSALNT0070603". The stretch from base 1391 to 1668 matches the Rfam family "Metazoan signal recognition particle RNA". The record is from RNAcentral. Lineage: Eukaryota; Metazoa; Chordata; Mammalia; Primates; Hominidae.